ACUAUGGAGAGUUUGAUCCUGGCUCAGGAUGAACGCUAGCGGCAGGCCUAAUACAUGCAAGUCGAACGGGAUCCAU
Ribosomal RNA from Sphingobacterium paucimobilis HER1398, 76 nucleotides. It matches the Rfam family "Bacterial small subunit ribosomal RNA", at positions 1 to 76 of the family's 1533-position model. The record is from Rfam. NCBI's taxonomy places the organism in Bacteria, Pseudomonadati, Bacteroidota, Sphingobacteriia, Sphingobacteriales, Sphingobacteriaceae.